RNAcentral lists this ribosomal RNA (435 nucleotides) under uncultured bacterium. RNAcentral describes it as "partial 16S ribosomal RNA". It matches the Rfam family "Bacterial small subunit ribosomal RNA", at positions 29 to 507 of the family's 1533-position model. The record is from RNAcentral.
AGCGAACGCUGGCGGCAGGCUUAACACAUGCAAGUCGAGCGGGCACCUUCGGGUGUCAGCGGCAGACGGGUGAGUAACACGUGGGAACGUACCCUUCGGUUCGGAAUAACGCUGGGAAACUAGCGCUAAUACCGGAUACGCCCUUAUGGGGAAAGGUUUACUGCCGAAGGAUCGGCCCGCGUCUGAUUAGCUAGUUGGUGGGGUAACGGCCUACCAAGGCGACGAUCAGUAGCUGGUCUGAGAGGAUGAUCAGCCACACUGGGACUGAGACACGGCCCAGACUCCUACGGGAAGCAGCAGUGGGGAAUAUUGGACAAUGGGCGCAAGCCUGAUCCAGCCAUGCCGCGUGAGUGAUGAAGGCCUUAGGGUUGUAAAGCUCUUUUGUCCGGGACGAUAAUGACGGUACCGGAAGAAUAAGCCCCGGCUAACUUCGUG